AAUAGAUACCCGGGUAAUCCACGCCGUAAACGAUGGAUGCUAGCUGUUAUGCGUAUCGACCCGUGUAGUAGCGAAGCUAACGCGUUAAGCAUCCCGCCUGGGGAGUACGAACGCAAGUUUAAAACUCAAAGGAAUUGACGGGGACCCGCACAAGCGGUGGAGCGCGUUCUUUAAUUCGAGGCUAAGCGAAGAACCUUACCAGGGCUUGACAUCCUUGGAAUUUCUCCGAAAGGAGAGAGUACUUUAUUGGACCAAGUGGCAGGUGCUGCAUGGCCGUCGUCAGCUCGUGUCGUGAGAUGUUUGGUUAAGUCCAUUAACGAGCGCAACCCUUAUGAAUAGUUGUAUUUUUCUAUUCAGACUGCCCCGGUAACGGGGAGGAAGGGGGGGAUGAUGUCAGGUCAGUAUUGCCCUUACGCCCUGGGCUAGAAACGCGCUACAAUGGCCGGUACAAUGCGCUGCCAACCCGCGAGGGGGAGCAAAUCGCAUCAAAGCCGGUCCCAGUUCGGAUAAGAGGCUGAAACUCGCCUCUUUGAAGCCGGAAUCGCUAGUAAUCGU
RNAcentral lists this ribosomal RNA (555 nucleotides) under uncultured bacterium. RNAcentral describes it as "bacterial SSU rRNA". It matches the Rfam family "Bacterial small subunit ribosomal RNA", at positions 777 to 1345 of the family's 1533-position model. The record is from RNAcentral.